AUAAGGGUCAAUGAAAAAAAUGGU
RNAcentral lists this non-coding RNA (24 nucleotides) under Arabidopsis thaliana (thale cress). Lineage: Eukaryota; Viridiplantae; Streptophyta; Magnoliopsida; Brassicales; Brassicaceae. The record is from RNAcentral.